Molecule: long non-coding RNA, 1163 nt
Organism: Toxorhynchites rutilus septentrionalis
Lineage: Eukaryota; Metazoa; Arthropoda; Insecta; Diptera; Culicidae
Exons: 3
Source: RefSeq, a predicted model, not a curated record
AUUCAACCUUCAGCGGCACACACCAGAACCAGCAGAGAAAUUUCAGCCGCUAAAACACACCAUUAAUUUCUCGAUGUUAUCACAAACUGAAUGAAGCACGGGUCGCGUUCGUCGCGAACAAGCAGUAUUGGCCAUUUGUAUUAAAAGAUCCAGCCAAAAUUGUUGCUCCCGUGGUCGAGUGAUUAGCAUCAAGACAGGUCUAUGGUACUAGGUGAGGCCGUUUCGUCACUAAGUUGGUUAGGGGAGCGAUAUAUGAAAACAGUACGGAAGAAAGCAGAAGGGGAAUUAUUUCCUUGAAGCGUGAAAGAGACAGACUGAUCACGAGCGAGCUUCGGCACGAGCGUAUUGUGUUUUGUUUACAACAAAACACAGUAGACUUCCAAGAUGGCUGAAGAGUGGUUUUAGCAAGUUGGCCCACCUUAGGAUAUACUUCUACGCGCCUUGAUUAGCAUCACGCCUAGCAUGUCACUGCUGAAUAAUUCUGGUAACUAAACAUCUCCGCCACGCUCUAUUAAAUUUUAGUACUUGUUCAAAUAGCUCAUAAUAGCUAAUGUUACAUGAAUUCAAUAUAUAAAUUGAUGAGCGCACUAAAUAAUUAUAUCAAUUGUGAAAAACCUUGAUCAAAACCAUGAUCAGAGGUGGUCAAACCAUGAUCAUAAUUCUUCUUUAAGGAAAAUCGUUAAAAAACAUAAAAAUUUGAAUAAUUUCAACACCUUAUGGUCAUUCACACAGUUCAGCUUGAAGCGAUCGGACGCUUUGUGCUAUUGUGCUCGCGUUUCUUCUUCUUUUUGGCUUUAAGAGGGUUUAAACUUUUCAGUUCAUUCGCCUCUAGAGUGCUCGCGUUUCGGUAACAGCUUUUGUUAUUGGCUGGUGUUUUUUCCUCAACCAAGUGUGCUUCUUCCUUCGCGUGUUAAUUGUGGGAACAGUGAAGUGCGCUCAACGUUCCCACCAGCUGGAGUGAAUAGCUUCUCACAGCAGAUACUGGUGAAGGUCUAUAGAGAGACACUUUUGAUCGCCGAAUCAUCGCCAUUUCCACCGCCGACGUAGGUGCGCUCGCUCACCAAUACACCUACAGCAGUGUAACAAUAGACGCCAACACGUGAUCAACUGGACGGUGCAGAACGAGUCGAAUAUUAUCUGCGCGGGGUGCGCAUUUAGGUGAA